GGAAAGGCAAGAGGCUGUGAUGUUGAAGUUGGGACUGCUGACAUGGAUUGACUCAAGAACGGCGACUAGAAUUUGCUCAUUUCUUUGAAAGACUUAUGAUGGCACACUUGUAAUCACAGCAGACAUGGCAGGCACCAUAGCAGUUCAAAAGGAUGAGCCUGCAAGUAUCAUCCAGGCUCAAGAUAUUUCUCCACAGCAGCUAACUCCAGCCACAAGACAAAUUUUAAGAUGUAAAAGUAGGCCUGUUUGAUGGAACAAUCCACCUGCUUCAGUUCCAGCACUGCACCGAGUUUUACAAAAGUUUUAAAGGGAAAAAUAAGGGUUUUUAGAACCUGUACUAAGUCAAGUUGACAUUUAGAAAUAGAUGUUUAUCUGUACAUAACAAGAGAUGCAACAGACGUCAUUUGCAGAAGUCAUGUCCUUCUUGAUUUUGAAAACUUAAUUGGUAAGAUAUUAAAUAUAAUUAUGUUUUACUUCAGCUGGAAAUCUCUUAUUUUUCAUUUGAAGCAAAAGAAAGAAAACUACACAUAAUGAAAGCAGCAUUCAGAUAAAAGUCUCUCACAUUAAUUAUAAAUCAUCAUUCUGUGUUGAAAGAGUUCAAGUAUACUUCAGCAUAUCUCCUGUGCAGUGGCUUGUUUUGCCCUUUAAUAACUUAAAUAAGCACUUCCUAACAAGAAACAAUUUAGCAGAAGAGGAAUUGCUUUGCAAAGGUUCCUUCUGUUCAAGAUAUGUUAUUUCUGCCUCCUCCCAUUCCAUCUUGGCUGCUUUGAUUUUCUCACCUUACAUGAAAGGUUGGUGUUAAGCCAGCACAUUUACUGGUGGAAGUGAACUGACGUGAUUGCCUUUAUGUCCCUGGGUGAUGGGGUAUGAAGAAGAUUUCUCUAACUACUGAAAAGAUUCCUUUGCCUACACCAAGCACUCCAGAGGUCCAUACAUAUGCUGGCAAGCAAGCAGGCUCUGACAGUGACAGUCUCAGAACUGCAGAGAUGCUGCAACCUCCACAGAAGGAAAUGUGUUUCAAACUCAGCUUUUCUGUACAGCAUUGCCUUUGCUCUGAAGGUAGAUGAAAACUAAAUCGAUUAUCCUGUCCUUUGAUAAAAAGGUGCCUGAACUAAGGAGUGUAAGUGUGCCUGAGACGUUGACCUUAGGUGCAUGAGGACUGCUCAGCAGCACCUGCUCAGAGAGAAGGAAAAAAUGGCAGCUACACUAUCAGGACCAAAGAUGCACACAAGCCAGCAUGCCAUCUGACUACAGCAUGUGGGAAAAGACUAGAUGAAUAAUACCACAAGCAGGCACAAGUCCUUCUUCCACUGGGCCUCAGCCUCUGGAUAUCACAGGCUCAGACUUCCCAAACAAAAGAUGUUGUCUUCCUAACAGUUGGUCCUUGGACUUUUCUUCCUUGAAUAUGC
This 1409-nucleotide long non-coding RNA is filed under the name Anas platyrhynchos platyrhynchos (common mallard). Its description in RNAcentral is "lncRNA (ENSAPLG00000027952.1)". Lineage: Eukaryota; Metazoa; Chordata; Aves; Anseriformes; Anatidae. The record is from RNAcentral.